This 253-nucleotide ribosomal RNA is filed under the name uncultured bacterium. RNAcentral describes it as "partial 16S ribosomal RNA". It matches the Rfam family "Bacterial small subunit ribosomal RNA", at positions 524 to 776 of the family's 1533-position model. The record is from RNAcentral.
UACGUAGGGGGCAAGCGUUGUCCGGAUUUAUUGGGCGUAAAGAGCGUGUAGGCGGCUUUACAGGUCCGUUGUGAAAACUCGAGGCUCAACCUCGAGACGCCGGUGGAAACCGUAUGGCUAGAGUCCGGAAGAGGAGAGUGGAAUUCCUGGUGUAGCGGUGAAAUGCGCAGAUAUCAGGAAGAACACCCGUGGCGAAGGCGGCUCUCUGGGACGGUACUGACGCUGAGACGCGAAAGCGUGGGGAGCGAACAGG